Molecule: ribosomal RNA, 486 nt
Filed under: uncultured bacterium
Lineage: Bacteria
Description: bacterial SSU rRNA
Rfam family: Bacterial small subunit ribosomal RNA
Source: RNAcentral
AGAGUUUGAUCAUGGCUCAGAGUGAACGCUGGCGGCAGGCCUAAUACAUGCAAGUCGAACGGCAGCACAGCAGAGCUUGCUCUGUGGGUGGCGAGUGGCGGACGGGUGAGGAAUACGUGGGAAUCUGCCCAGUCGUGGGGGAUAACGUAGGGAAACUUACGCUAAUACCGCAUGCGCCCUUCGGGGGAAAGCCGGGGACCUUCGGGCCUGGCGCGAUUGGAUGAGCCCACGUCGGAUUAGCUAGUUGGCGGGGUAAAGGCCCACCAAGGCGACGAUCCGUAGCUGGUCUGAGAGGAUGAUCAGCCACACUGGAACUGAGACACGGUCCAGACUCCUACGGGAGGCAGCAGUGGGGAAUAUUGGACAAUGGGCGCAAGCCCCGAUCCAGCCAUGCCGCGUGAGUGAUGAAGGCCUUAGGGUUGUAAAGCUCUUUUGUCCGGGAAGAUAAUGACUGUACCGGAAGAAUAAGCCCCGGCUAACUUCGUG